CCUACGGGAGGCUGCAGUGAGGAAUAUUGGUCAAUGGGCUUACGCCUGAACCAGCCAAGUCGCGUGAGGGAAGACUGCCCUAUGGGUUGUAAACCUCUUUUGUCAGGGAGCAAUUGGCGCUACGUGUAGCGUUAUCGAGAGUACCUGAAGAAAAAGCAUCGGCUAACUCCGUGCCAGCAGCCGCGGUAAUAGGGAGGAUGCGAGAGUUAUCCGGAUUUAUUGGGUUUAAAGGGUGCGUAGGCGGAAUGCCAAGUCAGCGGGAAAAUCGCGGGGCUCAACCUCGCUCCGCCGUUGAAACUGGCGUUCUUGAGUGGGCGAGAAGUAUGCGGAAUGCGUGGUGUAGCGGUGAAAUGCAUAGAUAUCACGCAGAACUCCGAUUGCGAAGGCAGCAUACCGGCGCCCAACUGACGCUGAAGCACGAAAGCGUGGGUAUCGAACAGGAUUAGAUACCCCUGUAGUC
RNAcentral lists this ribosomal RNA (460 nucleotides) under uncultured bacterium. RNAcentral describes it as "partial 16S ribosomal RNA". It matches the Rfam family "Bacterial small subunit ribosomal RNA", at positions 338 to 795 of the family's 1533-position model. The record is from RNAcentral.